Molecule: ribosomal RNA, 499 nt
Filed under: uncultured bacterium
Lineage: Bacteria
Description: partial 16S ribosomal RNA
Rfam family: Bacterial small subunit ribosomal RNA
Source: RNAcentral
GACGAACGCUGGCGGCGUGCUUAACACAUGCAAGUCGAACGGGCCCGCUCUCUUUUUUGGGGGUGGGUUGAGUGGCGAACGGGUGAGUAUCACGUGAGUAACCUGCCCCCUGCUCCUGGAUAACUGCUUGAAAGGGCGGCUAAUACGGGGUGUGCCGGCUGGUCCGCAUGGGCCUGGUCGGGAUAGUUUCAUCUUCGGGUGUUUCGGUGGGGGAUGGGCUCGCGGCCUAUCAGCUUGUUGGUGGGGUGAUGGCCCACCAAGGCGGUGACGGGUAGCCGGCAUGAGAGGGUGGGCGGCCACACUGGGACUGAGACACGGCCCAGACUCCUGCGGGAGGCAGCAGUGGGGGGUAUUGCACAAUGGGCGGAAGCCUGAUGCAGCGACGUCGCGUGAGGGAUGGAGGCCUUCGGGUUGUGAACCUCUUUCUCCGGUGGUGAAGGCCCUGUCCGUUGCGGCGGGGUUGACGGUAGCCGGGUAUGAAGCGCCGGCUAACUACGUG